ACCAGCACCCCGAGUGGUCGGGACGAUUAUUGGGCCUAAAGCAUCCGUAGCCGGUUCUGCAAGUCCUCCGUUAAAUCCAACUGCUUAACAGAUGGGCCGCGGAGGAUACUACAGAGCUAGGAGGCAGGAGAGGCAAGCGGUACUCAGUGGGUAGGGGUAAAAUCCGUUGAUCCAUUGAAGACCACCAGUGGCGAAGGCGGGUCUCUGGACAGUUCCUGACACUGAGGCACGAAGGCCAGGGGAGCAAACGGGA
This 253-nucleotide ribosomal RNA is filed under the name uncultured prokaryote. RNAcentral's name for it is "partial 16S ribosomal RNA". It matches the Rfam family "Archaeal small subunit ribosomal RNA", at positions 475 to 728 of the family's 1478-position model. The record is from RNAcentral.